This 249-nucleotide ribosomal RNA is filed under the name uncultured bacterium. RNAcentral's name for it is "partial 16S ribosomal RNA". It matches the Rfam family "Bacterial small subunit ribosomal RNA", at positions 57 to 305 of the family's 1533-position model. The record is from RNAcentral.
GCAAGUCGAGGGGUAAUUCUGCUUUCGGGCAUAAACGACCGGCGCACGGGUGCGUAACGCGUAUGCAACCUACCCACAACUGGGGGAUAGCCCGGAGAAAUCCGGAUGAAUACCCCAUAAUGCAGGAGUACCACAUGGUACUAUUAGCUAUAGAUGCCUCGGUUGUGGAUGGGCAUGCGUCUGAUUAGUUAGUUGGUGAGGUAACGGCUCACCAAGGCAACGAUGAGUAGGGGGUCUGAGAGGAUGAUC